AAAGAUGCAAAAAUAUUUUUUCAAAGCAAAAAAAAAAAUUUUGAAAGCAAAUAUAAAAUAUUUUUUAUGCAAAUGAUGAAUUUUUAUGCUUGAUACUUUAUAUUUUGUUUGCAAUUCAGAAGAUUUGGAUUGUAAAACUGACUUGCUUACAAUAUGGUGGCACAAACAUCACUCCAUACAAUCACUUAUUUUAAAAUAAAUAAACAUAAAUAAUGUGAUCAUUAAAUAAUAAAACAUAAAUCAGUAAAAGUAAAAAAAAUAUUUAUCAAUGCAGUAAAAUAGCAUAAAACAAUUAAAAUAUCAAAUAACUAAAAGCAGAUUAAAAAGGUUGGUUUUUAGCUGUCCCUUAAAAACGUGAACAGUCCAUGCGGUCCUGAUGCUCUCAGGGAGGCUGCUCCACAGGAGAGGUCCAUGGGAACCUCUCCAUCACAUCUCCAAAUGGUUUCUGUCAGUCAUCGGUUUUGUGGUUAGCGUGGACACAUUGUUGGCAGUGAUUCCUGAACAAGUUCAGCCUCAUGUCUGCACACCGCUUCAACCAGGAACACUUGGAGCUUUUCUUCAGCUCUGUCAGAGCAUCAGGUGCCUGGAAUUGGGGCGGGAAUUUCGACACACUGCUUAGCCAGUAACCAACUCAACCUGCCAUCUUUAAGACCUCUAAGACCAGUUACUCCAGCAACAACCCACCAGUCUGACAGCUAAAACUACAUGAUUGAUCGCCGGCAGAGUUUCUGUUCUCUGAGCGUCGACGGCCUUGACUCACUGCUGAACGCCGAUGGCAGAAAUCCAUCUCCGCUGCACACGACGGCGCUGCAGCAAAAGCACACAAACAUGCGCACAAACAUGCGCACAAACAUGCACACAAACAUGCACACAAACAUGCGCACAAACAUGCACACAAACAUGCACACAAACAUGCACACAAACAUGCGCACAAACAUGCACACAAACAUGCACACAAACAUGCACACAAACAUGCACACAAACAUGCGCACAAACAUGCGCACAAACAUGCACACAAACGGACGCUUUGCAGCACAAGAACAGGGCGCAGGUUCCAGAGGAGGUUCUGGUGUCGGGGCGCAGAAGGAUGGACCUGCUGUUGACAAGUUCUUCCACACUUUCCUGAUCACAGAAUUGUCAAACAAAAUAUAAACUGGAGAGUUUUUUUUUGUUCUGAGGGCUGUAAGCUCUCUUGGAUGAUGUUUGACGGUGACGGCGCUCCUUUAAAAACACGAUCCAUUUGGCUUUGCUGCUUUUGGUUUUGCUUCGUUCACAGAAAUCGAGAGAAAAUCCCUGAAAGUCGUGACUUGUUCGGACUCAGCCGAGCUUGACUCGAGUGUCUUGACUGUAUAACAGCACCUGGAGCAGGAUGGCCACGUCAAUCAGGAUCUGGACGGAACCGCACAGCCAGAACUGGACCGGGCUUUGGUUGGUUAUGAACUCCCUGGACGGUGAAAUCCUACAGGCUUGAAUGUAAUAUGAGUCCAUUCUUUUUAUUGGAGCUGACUGAGCCUGGGGAUGCAGCAGGACCAUCAUUCAUCACUGACACAUGCUGUAAGGGUCAGAAGGCGGUGAGGAGGAAGCAGCCAGCAGAGGACGGACAAUCUGCAGAGGACUGCAUUUAUCCACCGGCUGACGCAACCCGACCACCAACGUGAACAGGGUCUCUGAAUGGAAAUGAGACCUCAGUGAGAUCGCAGUGCAUGAUGGGUGAACGUGGAGGGAACGGCAGCCUGAUGAGGACGAGGGCAGCAGUCCUGCAGGAGACCAACUAAAGGACAUCUGAUGAGGACAAAAAGGGUUUAAACUAGAGCAUUAUAUCUACACGUAAAACCGGCUGCAUGUGUGUAGAAAUGUCCACAACAGGAGCCAAACACAACUGCCACAAAGUUUACACAAAAGGCUUUUAGAAAUCACAGGAAAAAUGGCAGAUGUGGAUAAAAAAUGAUGGUUGACCCAUUCAGGCGCUGUGAGGUUUUGGGUUUUCCGGACCGUAGACGGUUGUGGAGAAGAGUAUCCACAUUUAAACCCUUUAACACCGGAGAUGUCCCUGACUGAACCUGAAUAACACUCACUCUGAGAUACAAUAACUCUGAAUAACACUCACUCUGAGAUACAAUAACUCUGAAUAACACUCACUCUGAGAUACAAUAACUCUGAAGGUUUCAUGUGAAUCAGCUGAUUGCCAACAUAAAGUGUUGUAUAGCAGCACAAGGCGGCUUUUUCUGUUUCAGGCUACGUUCAUGUGACGUUUUCAAUGAGAAGUCUUUGUAAACGUGUAUGUAUGCGUUUCAAAGUAAUAAGCUACAAACGUCUUUAGGUUCAUUUUUACACUCAAAACGUCAAUCCAGGUGAAUUUUGACCAAUCACUGACUGACUUUGGUCGGUAUGUGUGGUUGUGUCCCUUUUAAAGUUAAUUGUCACACAACUAGGUGUGUGAAAUUUGCUCUCCACAUUUGACUCUUCCCCUGAGGGAGUGGUGAGCUGCUGACACAGCUGCUCUUAGGAACCAUUUGGUGGUUUCACCCCCCAAUCCAAACCCUUAGUGAGGGUCAAGCAGGGAGUCAUUGGGUACCUGGCUGGAUAGAAGAAUUGGUUGUAUUACAGUAUUAUUAUACUGGUUGUAUUACAGUAUUAUUAUACUGGUUGUAUUACAAUAAAUCAUUUCUUCCACAUGCAAUAAGAUUGUAUAACUCCUCCUCCCUCUGUAACAGAUAACACACCUACUGACUUUUUACAGGACCGAUGUUCAUUACUGUCUCAAUUUGCACACU
Molecule: long non-coding RNA, 2774 nt
Organism: Oryzias melastigma (Indian medaka)
Lineage: Eukaryota; Metazoa; Chordata; Actinopteri; Beloniformes; Adrianichthyidae
Exons: 5
Source: RefSeq, a predicted model, not a curated record